AGUUCGGAUUGCAGGCUGCAACUCGCCUGCAUGAAGCUGGAAUUGCUAGUAAUCGCGGAUCAGCAAGCCGCGGUGAAUACGUUCCCGGGCCUUGUACACACCGCCCGUCACACCAUGAGAGUCGGGAACACCCGAAGUCCGUAGUCUAACCGCAAGGGGGGCGCGGCCGAAGGUGGGUCCGGUAAUUGGGGUGAAGUCGUAACAAGGUAAC
This 211-nucleotide ribosomal RNA is filed under the name uncultured bacterium. Its description in RNAcentral is "partial 16S ribosomal RNA". It matches the Rfam family "Bacterial small subunit ribosomal RNA", at positions 1290 to 1500 of the family's 1533-position model. The record is from RNAcentral.